Molecule: ribosomal RNA, 369 nt
Filed under: uncultured Psychrobacter sp.
Lineage: Bacteria; Pseudomonadati; Pseudomonadota; Gammaproteobacteria; Moraxellales; Moraxellaceae
Description: bacterial SSU rRNA
Rfam family: Bacterial small subunit ribosomal RNA
Source: RNAcentral
CCUAACGGUUAAUACCCGUUAGCGAUGACAUUAGCUGCAGAAUAAGCACCGGCUAACUCUGUGCCAGCAGCCGCGGUAAUACAGAGGGUGCAAGCGUUAAUCGGAAUUACUGGGCGUAAAGCGAGCGUAGGUGGCUUGAUAAGUCGGAUGUGAAAUCCCCGGGCUUAACCUGGGAACUGCAUCUGAUACUGUUAGGCUAGAGUAGGUGAGAGGGAAGUAGAAUUUCAGGUGUAGCGGUGAAAUGCGUAGAGAUCUGAAGGAAUACCGAUGGCGAAGGCAGCUUCCUGGCAUCAUACUGACACUGAGGUUCGAAAGCGUGGGUAGCAAACAGGAUUAGAUACCCUGGUAGUCCACGCCGUAAACGAUGUC